RNAcentral lists this ribosomal RNA (410 nucleotides) under uncultured bacterium. RNAcentral's name for it is "bacterial SSU rRNA". It matches the Rfam family "Bacterial small subunit ribosomal RNA", at positions 355 to 775 of the family's 1533-position model. The record is from RNAcentral.
UGGGGAAUCUUGCACAAUGGGCGCAAGCCUGAUGCAGCGACGCCGCGUGGGGGAUGAAGGCCCUCGGGUUGUAAACCCCUUUCGGCAGGGAAGAAGCCGCAAGGUGACGGUACCUGCAAAAGAAGCCCCGGCUAACUACGUGCCAGCAGCCGCGGUAAGACGUAGGGGGCGAGCGUUGUCCGGAUUUAUUGGGCGUAAAGCGCGCGUAGGCGGUUCGUUAAGUCGGUUGUGAAAACCCGGGGCUCAACCCCGGGCCUGCGUCCGAUACUGGCGGACUUGAGGCAGACAGGGGAGAGUGGAAUUCCCGGUGUAGCGGUGAAAUGCGCAGAUAUCGGGAGGAACACCGGUGGCGAAGGCGGCUCUCUGGGUCUGUCCUGACGCUCAGGCGCGAAAGCUAGGGGAGCAAACAG